Molecule: ribosomal RNA, 464 nt
Filed under: Vreelandella stevensii
Lineage: Bacteria; Pseudomonadati; Pseudomonadota; Gammaproteobacteria; Oceanospirillales; Halomonadaceae
Description: partial 16S ribosomal RNA
Rfam family: Bacterial small subunit ribosomal RNA
Source: RNAcentral
CCUACGGGGGGCUGCAGUGGGGAAUAUUGGACAAUGGGGGAACCCUGAUCCAGCCAUGCCGCGUGUGUGAAGAAGGCCCUCGGGUUGUAAAGCACUUUCAGUGAGGAAGAACGCCUGGUGGUUAAUACCCAUCAGGAAAGACAUCACUCACAGAAGAAGCACCGGCUAACUCCGUGCCAGCAGCCGCGGUAAUACGGAGGGUGCGAGCGUUAAUCGGAAUUACUGGGCGUAAAGCGCGCGUAGGUGGCUUGAUAAGCCGGUUGUGAAAGCCCCGGGCUCAACCUGGGAACGGCAUCCGGAACUGUCAAGCUAGAGUGCAGGAGAGGAAGGUAGAAUUCCCGGUGUAGCGGUGAAAUGCGUAGAGAUCGGGAGGAAUACCAGUGGCGAAGGCGGCCUUCUGGACUGACACUGACACUGAGGUGCGAAAGCGUGGGUAGCAAACAGGAUUAGAUACCCCUGUAGUC